Molecule: ribosomal RNA, 253 nt
Filed under: uncultured bacterium
Lineage: Bacteria
Description: partial 16S ribosomal RNA
Rfam family: Bacterial small subunit ribosomal RNA
Source: RNAcentral
UACGUAGGGUGCGAGCGUUAAUCGGAAUUACUGGGCGUAAAGCGUGCGCAGGCGGUUCGUUGUGUCGGUGGUGAAAUCCCCGGGCUUAACCUGGGAAUGGCAUUGGAAACUGGCGGACUCGAGUGUGGCAGAGGGGGGUGGAAUUCCGCGUGUAGCAGUGAAAUGCGUAGAGAUGCGGCGGAACACCGAUGGCGAAGGCAGCCCCCUGGGCUUAAAUUGACGCUGAGGCACGAAAGCGUGGGGAGCAAACAGG